AUAAAAAACCAACGCCCUUCGGGGCUCCUUGGUGAAUCAUAAUAACUUAACGAAUCGCAUGGCCUUGCGCCGGCGAUGGUUCAUUCAAAUUUCUGCCCUAUCAACUUUCGAUGGUAGGAUAGUGGCCUACCAUGGUGGCAACGGGUAACGGGGAAUUAGGGUUCGAUUCCGGAGAGGGAGCCUGAGAAACGGCUACCACAUCCAAGGAAGGCAGCAGGCGCGCAAAUUACCCAAUCCCGAUACGGGGAGGUAGUGACAAUAAAUACUGAUACAGGGCUCUUUUGGGUCUUGUAAUUGGAAUGAGUACAAUCUAAAUCCCUUAACGAGGAACAAUUGGAGGGCAAGUCUGGUGCCAGCAGCCGCGGUAAUUCCAGCUCCAAUAGCGUAUAUUAAAGUUGUUGCAGUUAAAAAGCUCGUAGUUGAACCUUGGGCCUGGCUGGCCGGUCCGCCUCACCGCGAGUACUGGUCCGGCUGGGCCUUUCCUUCUGGGGAACCCCAUGGCCUUCACUGGCCGUGGCGGGGAACCAGGACUUUUACUGUGAAAAAAUUAGAGUGUUCAAAGCAGGCCUUUGCUCGAAUACAUUAGCAUGGAAUAAUAGAAUAGGACGUGCGGGUCUAUUUUGUUGGUUUCUAGGACCGCCG
This 642-nucleotide ribosomal RNA is filed under the name uncultured fungus. RNAcentral's name for it is "SSU rRNA". It matches the Rfam family "Eukaryotic small subunit ribosomal RNA", at positions 214 to 862 of the family's 1831-position model. The record is from RNAcentral. Lineage: Eukaryota; Fungi.